GGGGUUGUAGCUCAGUUGGCAGAGCACUUACAUGGCAUGUAAGAUGUCAGCGGUUCAAUUCCGCUCAACUCCA
RNAcentral lists this transfer RNA (73 nucleotides) under Buchnera aphidicola (Anoecia oenotherae). It matches the Rfam family "tRNA". Rfam says of the family: Transfer RNA (tRNA) molecules are approximately 80 nucleotides in length. Their secondary structure includes four short double-helical elements and three loops (D, anti-codon, and T loops). The record is from Rfam by way of RNAcentral. Lineage: Bacteria; Pseudomonadati; Pseudomonadota; Gammaproteobacteria; Enterobacterales; Erwiniaceae.